GUGUGAAGUAUCUUUAACCUUUUCAACAGAGUUCGAUGGAAUCCUUCAUGCUUCUUUUUCUAUAAUAUAAUUUAAAUAGAUUUGGGUUAUAUUCUUAUUUUCAUUCUAAGUUUAAAUUCCUCUUAAUUAUUUUUCAGCCAACCUGAAAGGUGACAAAAUGCCAGUUAUUUGUAAGAAUAAAAAAAAACAGUAUGAAACACAGAUGGCCCAACAAUACCAAGGAAACUCAGGAAUAAAGUAAAGGGCUUGGAAAGCUGCAUAUAAAAAAUGCAUCACAAAGUAAGUGGAUAUUAAUUUAUAUUUCAAGAUUUUACAUUUCCAGAAAGUUAGGCCACAGCAGUUCAUAA
Molecule: long non-coding RNA, 347 nt
Filed under: Lepisosteus oculatus (spotted gar)
Lineage: Eukaryota; Metazoa; Chordata; Actinopteri; Semionotiformes; Lepisosteidae
Description: lncRNA (ENSLOCG00000021971.1)
Source: RNAcentral